RNAcentral lists this ribosomal RNA (491 nucleotides) under uncultured bacterium. RNAcentral's name for it is "partial 16S ribosomal RNA". It matches the Rfam family "Bacterial small subunit ribosomal RNA", at positions 29 to 506 of the family's 1533-position model. The record is from RNAcentral.
AGUGAACGCUGGCGGUAGGCCUAACACAUGCAAGUCGAACGGCAGCACAGUAAGAGCUUGCUCUUACGGGUGGCGAGUGGCGGACGGGUGAGGAAUGCAUCGGAAUCUACUUUUUCGUGGGGGAUAACGUAGGGAAACUUACGCUAAUACCGCAUACGACCUACGGGUGAAAGCAGGGGAUCUUCGGACCUUGCGCGAUUGAAUGAGCCGAUGUCGGAUUAGCUAGUUGGCGGGGUAAAGGCCCACCAAGGCGACGAUCCGUAGCUGGUCUGAGAGGAUGAUCAGCCACACUGGAACUGAGACACGGUCCAGACUCCUACGGGGGGCAGCAGUGGGGAAUAUUGGACAAUGGGCGCAAGCCUGAUCCAGCCAUACCGCGUGGGUGAAGAAGGCCUUCGGGUUGUAAAGCCCUUUUGUUGGGAAAGAAAAGCAGCAGGUUAAUACCCCGCUGUUCUGACGGUACCCAAAGAAUAAGCACCGGCUAACUUCGU